UACGGAGGGUGCGAGCGUUGUCCGGAAUCAUUGGGCGUAAAGGGCGCGUAGGUGGCCUGGUCAGUCUGUGGUGAAAGCGCGGGGCUCAACUCCGCGUCGGCCGUGGAUACUGCUGGGCUGGAGCACUGUAGAGGCAGGCGGAAUUCCGGGUGUAGCGGUGGAAUGCGUAGAGAUCCGGAAGAACACCGGUGGCGAAGGCGGCCUGCUGGGCAGUUGCUGACACUGAGGCGCGACAGCGUGGGGAGCAAACAGG
RNAcentral lists this ribosomal RNA (253 nucleotides) under uncultured bacterium. RNAcentral's name for it is "partial 16S ribosomal RNA". It matches the Rfam family "Bacterial small subunit ribosomal RNA", at positions 524 to 776 of the family's 1533-position model. The record is from RNAcentral.